Molecule: non-coding RNA, 97 nt
Organism: Dothidotthia symphoricarpi CBS 119687
Lineage: Eukaryota; Fungi; Ascomycota; Dothideomycetes; Pleosporales; Dothidotthiaceae
Source: the annotation of a RefSeq genome assembly
UCCCCUGUGGCGCAAUUGGCUAGCGCGUCAGACUGUUAGCGAAUCUACGGAUACCGAGCAAAUCUGGAGGCUGGAAGUUCGAGCCUUCCCGGGGGAG